CUUUGAUACACCCUCGACAACUUUAAUUCCUCUAAUGUGAAAUCAACUGCCUAUGGGACUUAACUAUUUCAAUAAAUAGGCAUCGAAAUACAGAUCUGAUAUAUACAUGUAGUCAAAGUUGAGCAACACUAAGAAACAAUUUUGGCUGCACAUUUAGUUGUUUGACAAGGUUAUCUAUCUAUGCUAGCUUCACUUGCAGCAACAAAAAUGAGUAUUUGGUCUCUAGCU
This 228-nucleotide long non-coding RNA is filed under the name Trifolium pratense (red clover). Its description in RNAcentral is "long non-coding RNA (TPRA_LNC013653)". The record is from RNAcentral. Lineage: Eukaryota; Viridiplantae; Streptophyta; Magnoliopsida; Fabales; Fabaceae.